UAAGGAAUAUUGGUCAAUGGACGCAAGUCUGAACCAGCCAUGCCGCGUGAAGGAUUAAGGCCCUCUGGGUUGUAAACUUCUUUUAUAGGGGAAGAAAUGUGACGGUUCUCCGUCACUUGACGGUACCCUGGGAAUAAGCACCGGCUAACUACGUGCCAGCAGCCGCGGUAAUACGUAGGGUGCGAGCGUUAAUCGGAAUUACUGGGCGUAAAGCGUGCGCAGGCGGCUCUGUAAGACAGAUGUGAAAUCCCCGGGCUCAACCUGGGAACUGCAUUUGUGACUGCAAGGCUAGAGUGUGUCAGAGGGAGGUGGAAUUCCGCGUGUAGCAGUGAAAUGCGUAGAGAUGCGAAGGAACACCGAUGGCGAAGGCAGCCUCCUGGGAUGACACUGACGCUCAUGCACGAAAGCGUGGGGAGCAAACA
Molecule: ribosomal RNA, 422 nt
Filed under: uncultured bacterium
Lineage: Bacteria
Description: bacterial SSU rRNA
Rfam family: Bacterial small subunit ribosomal RNA
Source: RNAcentral